Molecule: ribosomal RNA, 497 nt
Filed under: uncultured bacterium
Lineage: Bacteria
Description: partial 16S ribosomal RNA
Rfam family: Bacterial small subunit ribosomal RNA
Source: RNAcentral
GAUGAACGCUGGCGGCGUGCCUAAUACAUGCAAGUCGAGCGAACAGAUGAGGAGCUUGCUCCUCUGACGUUAGCGGCGGACGGGUGAGUAACACGUGGAUAACCUACCUAUAAGACUGGGAUAACUUCGGGAAACCGGAGCUAAUACCGGAUAAUAUAUUGAACCGCAUGGUUCAAUAGUGAAAGACGGUUUUGCUGUCACUUAUAGAUGGAUCCGCGCCGCAUUAGCUAGUUGGUAAGGUAACGGCUUACCAAGGCAACGAUGCGUAGCCGACCUGAGAGGGUGAUCGGGCACACUGGAACUGAGGCAGGGUCCAGACGCCUACGGGAGGCAGCAGUAGGGAAUCUUCCGCAAAGGGGGAAAGCCUGACGGAGCAACGCCGCGUGAGUGAUGAAGGUCUUCGGAUCGUAAAACUCUGUUAUUAGGGAAGAACAAAUGUGUAAGUAACUAGGCACGUCUUGACGGUACCUAAUCAGAAAGCCACGGCUAACUACGUG